Long non-coding RNA from Mus musculus (house mouse), 749 nucleotides. RefSeq annotates it as RIKEN cDNA 4930568A13 gene. The record is from RefSeq and is a predicted model, not a curated record. The transcript has 4 exons. NCBI's taxonomy places the organism in Eukaryota, Metazoa, Chordata, Mammalia, Rodentia, Muridae.
UGUCACUUGAGAUUCCUGUCCACAAGUGCCUCUUGACCACGGGAACAGUGUCUGGUUUGGCUACUGCAGACAGGAUGGAUCCCCAGGGAGAGUGGUGCUAUUUGGACUUGUGGCCUUUUUGGAAUAGGUGUAUCAUUGUGGCUGCAGGCUUUAAUAUCCUAGCUCUUGCUCCCUGGAGGCUCUGAUUCUGCUAGCAGCCUUCGGAUUAAGAUGCAGAACUCUCAGCUCUGCCUACACUAUGCCUGCCUGGAUGGUGACAUGUUGCAGCCUUGAUGAUACUUGAUUGAAGCUCUGGAGCUAGAGUGGUGCUAUUUGGACUUGUGGCCUUGUUGGAAUAGGUGUAUCACUGUGAGUGCAGGCUGUAAUAUCCUAGCUCUAGCUCCCUGGAGGCUCUGAUUCUGCUACCAGCCUUCAGAUUAACAUUCAGAACUCUCAGCUCCUCCUACACCAUGCCUGCCUGGAUGGUGACAUGUUACAACCUUGAUGAUACUUGAAUGAAGCUCUGAAGCUUGUAUGGCUGUGUGAGGCAUUGGGCUAGGCCCGGACAGGCUGGUCUCCAGUUGAGCUGUGGUCUGAACCCUGGAAGAGUGAUAAUUCACCUACAUGACAUGGCAGGCAUUCCCUCUUGCUCCUGGUACUCUGGCUCCUGCCUAAGUUACUGGCCCCCACAGCAUCCACAUGGUAAGCAUGGCUAGAUAUAAAGUAGGCAAUUUCCCAAGCUUCUUACCUACAGUCUAAACUCCUCCCCA